UGCAACAGGUGUACUUUAGUUAGGUGUGC
Molecule: non-coding RNA, 29 nt
Filed under: Macaca fascicularis (crab-eating macaque)
Lineage: Eukaryota; Metazoa; Chordata; Mammalia; Primates; Cercopithecidae
Also listed under: 1 other name
Source: RNAcentral